UAAAAUGGAGGUUCAUUCUAGCCAAGUGUCACUGCUCAGAGGGCUGGUUCAGACAAUCUUUUUAAGAGGGGGCCUUGUUAAGUAAGCCUUCCUCUGGGCCCCAGCCUGCUCUCUUGGAGUGCUAGCCUUGGCUUGGUCCUGGGCUCGGCCAUGAGUCCUUGCACUCUCGGUGCUCUCCUACCUCUCCUCCUCAACAGCAGCGGCAGCGGCGCAGCAAGGUCCCUUGAGAGAGCAGGAGAACUGCAGCAAACAUCGUGCCGGCUGGAUCAAAAGCAAACACAACAGUUAUGGGCAGCAGAAGAGCAGCUGGAUCUCCCCACGCAAAGCAAUGGGGAACCAACAACACAGUCUAAAGCACACCCGUUUCAAAAGUAGAUCCAGAGAGUUCAAAGGGGCUUGCUCAUGAGUAAGUGAUCUAGGAGUGCAACCUUAAUGGAAACAGGGAAA
Molecule: non-coding RNA, 447 nt
Organism: Podarcis muralis (Common wall lizard)
Lineage: Eukaryota; Metazoa; Chordata; Lepidosauria; Squamata; Lacertidae
Source: RefSeq, a predicted model, not a curated record